Molecule: long non-coding RNA, 3854 nt
Filed under: Citrus sinensis (sweet orange)
Lineage: Eukaryota; Viridiplantae; Streptophyta; Magnoliopsida; Sapindales; Rutaceae
Description: long non-coding RNA (CSIN_LNC002426)
Source: RNAcentral
GUAGCGAGGGAAGCCUCCUUCUUCCAAUAAUUUCUUCCACUCAAGCUCAGUCCUCUCUUUCCCGCCCGCGGUGUUAACCAUCAUAACUAAAUCAAAUGCAUAACCGGCGUCAUCAAACAGGCCUUGACCAUCAGGUUGUAAAAUAACAUCAAUAAUUAUCACUUUUCCAGUUUUUUCCGGUAUUGCUUUCCGGCAAUUCUUCAAAAUCUUUACACAAGCCUCAUCGCUCCAAUUGUGGAGCACCCACUGAACAAUAUUAAUUGCAAUGAAUUAAUUAUAUAAUAAAGUAAAAGUAUUCCAGACUACAUAUAUAAAUAUAGUGGUGAUUUAGUUCAGGAUCCUGAACUUUGUUAAAGUUCAGGACAAGUUAACAAUUGGAUGAAUAGACUUCUACAUCUUUGUAAAUUGUUUGACAAUAUUGUAAAAGUAUAUUUACACUAUUGUCAACUUGUCACGUAUUUUAGUUUUAAAUUAUAAGUUUGGAUUGUAAAAUUUUCUUAUAUCUACAUAUAGAGUCUAUCUCUAGUACAGUCGCCCUCAUUUCUUUUUUCAUGCGAACACAUUUUUAAAUCAUGAGAUUUAAAAGAGUUAGUUUUGAACUCUUUUAAACCGCAUGCUUUAUAAUUUAUUCAAAAAUAAUUCUUUUAAAUCAGAUGAUUUAAGAAUGUGCCCAUAUUAAAAAGAAGGCAGGCGCUCAGUUACGUUUAACGUAAUAUAUAUAUAUAUAUAUAUAUUAGUUACCUUCAAGAGAAGUGCGUCAGCAUUAGGAAUGGUGUGAAACAUGUCACCCGAAACAUGUGUGACCCCAUCAUAGACCGGUGCUGUGGUGAUGACAUGUGGUAAAUCAAAGUUGAUGCCUUUGAUGUGUGGAUAUGAUUUCACAAUCUCAGAUAUCAAACCUCCAAUCCCACCUGCCACAUCGACCAAUGAUUUCAAUGAAUCAAACCCAUGUUUAUAACCUGCUAAUAUUUCCCUUGUUAAGAUCUUGGAAUUACAAGCCAUGCCCUCAUUGAAGAUUUUGUUGAACUGUUGAUCUUUCGAUGCUAAAUCGAUAUAUGCAUCGCCAAAAGCCUUUUCAAUUGCACUACCACCUUCUUUGACACACUGGCUCAGGAAAUGCCAAGAGUUGACUAUGUAUGGAUGGUUCUCCACUAAGAAAACGGGUCCCAACUGGUUUGAAUCAGAGCCAGUGACAAGCCAUCUUGACGAGUGGGUCAGCCCGUAGAGGGGCUCUCCACCGUCUGAUGGAUGUUGUGCGGCGAAGAUGUUUUUAUGGCCUAAAAGUCUCAUGAUGCGUUCGAUGUAGGAUAUUUCAGGGGAGCAGGGAGAGUCAAUGGAUGAAGCUAUUUGGGAUGAAGUAAUCGGGCCGCCAUGAGAGUGAAUAAUGUCAGGGAUUCGAAGCUCAAUAGCACACUUCAAGGCCAGAGAAUCUAUGAAAGCAAACAUGUGUUUCCAUAUUUCUGCUUGGCCUCUUAGUGAUGCUUCACCUUCCACUGAUUCCAUUUCUAUCUUUGUCACUCUAUUUGGUGAAGACAGAAGGAAGAUUUACAGUAAUAUAUAUUGUUAGGAAAUUCAUAGUUUCUUCCUAAGAUCUCCACAAGCAUUAUGCAAAGUAAAUAAUAAUAUAAAAUGUUAAAUAGAGAAUAAUACUAACCACAUAAUAUAUGAUUCAUAUAAAAAACUCUAAUUAAAAAAAACCACGGUCAUUAGUAUAAGAUUUACCUGAAAAACUAUAAAUUAAAAAAAAACGGCGUCAUUAUUAAAAGACAACUAGAGUAAAAUUUACUAUGAAGAAAAUUGGUACCACUAUACUCACUGUAAUUUUUCUAGCUCGACUUACACUCAAUGACAGCAUUUCAACAAAGAAACACUUUUUUACCCAAGUUUACAAUUGUUCAUAUUGCCGGAACCAAGUGCUUCCAUAAUAUUAAUUUCAUUCUUAAGAAUAUUUCUCUCUAUUUUGAAAGCUCUGAAUGCUUCUCUUGCAUUCACAAAAUAAAUGCUCUCAAUUGGGAUACAUAGUUCUGGAGAAAGCCCUCCUUUUAUAGCCAAAUAGUGGCUUCAUAAAUCAAUAAUUUCGACUUAAACAUUGAGAGAUUGCGACAACAAAACGAAACACGCGAGGUAGCUGUUGAAAAAUCAAACUUUGCUUUGUGGGCACCGAAUUCAAUGCCCAUGAAAGUUGAUUUUUUUUUUUUCAAAAUUCAAUUUGCCAAGCAUUUUUAAACCAGAGCACUGAUAUUGGAACUAAACCCCAACAAAAUCUUGACAAAAAUACAUUCCAAAUUGCCCUCAUGAGUUGACUAUAUUUUAAUUUUAUUUUUUAAAGUUCACCUAAAAUAACUGAAUGUGCUAUUGUCAGCCGUUCCCCAAUCAUUUUUCUUUUGUAUAAAUUUUGAAUUACUCAUGAGUUCACUAUAUUCAACUCGUCGCUUUACUAUUGAAAAUGUUAAGUUAUCUCAUUUUUUAAAAAAAUAAGGGGGUGGGUGAAUAAAUUUUUAUUGGUCCUUUUAAUAAAAGCGAGAGCAAAUUACAAUUUUUAAAAAUAAGAAAGACUAUUUAAAGAUAGUUCAUUCAUAAAAAAAUAAUCUAAAAAAAUUGAUAAGCUUACGUGUGCAAGAUUUGGGAAGAUCUUAAUGAAUUUUCCAAUAAAGGUAAGAAGUAAGAAGAUAGAUAAAAGGGCCAAUAUUCUAUUCCUUGACUAAUUAAUCAAUACUUUAAAACUUCAAUGUCAGGAUUGUAAGUUUGAUCACGCAACUUGAUUGAAAGUUAAAGUACAAAUAGGUUAUAAGACAGUGUCUCAAGUUCAAGACAUAAUUCAACCACGACAGAAUACAUGAUGUUGAAGGAAAUAAAAUAACUUUUACUAUUAAGAAAAUAAUUGACAGAAAAUAAACUAUUUUAUGAAAAAAAAUAACUCUGUUUUGGUCAUGCAUCGCCCCUAAAACGAACUCAUUAAAAUAUAUGGUUAAUUAAAAUCAGAGUAUUUUUACAUUUUAUAGGACUGAUCAAGUUUUUAUCGUUUCAUACGGGUAUUAGUCCGUGAAGUUGUAUUUUGUAUGAGCCAAUUGAAUCCCUUCACUCAGAAAACCUUUGUAUUGAAUUCUUUAUUUAGGAUCAAACCUUCAUCUACCAUUUUGAGUUAUCUUAUAUUUCCUCACUUGCUGACAAUUGUUACAAGAUUAACACGUUAAUGAUAAAGUUAAACAAUAAUAACAAGCAGCAUGUAUGAGCAAUAUUAUUAUUGGAUUCUAUCUAAUUAAUAUUAAUGUUCAAACAUGCGUGCAUAAUUUGAAACAGAAAUAUUAUGCUUGCAUAAUUUCCCUUUCAAAAAUGCAACCAGUGCCUUAACUUUGCCCAUAGAGUACUGAACUUUAUUUCACACCUAUUUUAUUAAUUAUUAUAUAGGCAUCGGUGUGAAUAUGGUUUAGCUAUCAACUUAAAGUUUCAUUUCACUCUGGAUAGGCCUCGAUAAUAGAUUGUAAAGCUGGAAUUUUGAUGAUCUGGUAGCGAGGGAAGCCUCCUUCUUCCAAUAAUUUCUUCCACUCAAGCUCAGUCCUCUCUUUCCCGCCCGCGGUGUUAACCAUCAUAACUAAAUCAAAUGCAUAACCGGCGUCAUCAAACAGGCCUUGACCAUCAGGUUGUAAAAUAACAUCAAUAAUUAUCACUUUUCCAGUUUUUUCCGGUAUUGCUUUCCGGCAAUUCUUCAAAAUCUUUACACAAGCCUCAUCGCUCCAAUUGUGGAGCACCCACUGAACAAUAUUAAUUGCAAUGAAUUAAUUAUAUAAUAAAGUAAAAGUAUUCCAGACUACAUAUAUAAAUAUAGUGGUGAUUUAGUUCAGGAUCCUGAACUU